GUUUGUGUGGAAACUGUGGUGUUCUGACAGCAACAUGGAGGAGAGUUCCAGACCCGCUCUGAAGUCCGGAGCAGCCUGUUGUGGACUGGCUAUUAGCAAGUCCAGCGGAGUGAAGAAACCUCCAGCCUUCCAGGUGAAAGAGCAGUGACGUCAUUCCCAAGCGACCCGUUCUACCCAGCAUUCCGCGUUCCAAUGCAGAUCCCAUCUCAGGACGGGAAAACCGAGAAGCAGAGCGCCCGGCUGAUGACGUCAGUCGGCGUUUCCAUGGUUACCGACCCCGCCUGAGGGAGGAUUGUCCUGGCCUAAGGAAUGACGUCAUACCCAGCAUGCACAGCUGUGAUUCGCUCCGCCGGCAGGAAAGUCGGCAGGAUUAUGUUCUCAGUCAGACAGCCGCAGUUUCGUCUGUUCCAUCCGUGGCUGAUAGCAGAAUUAUGGCA
Branchiostoma belcheri (Belcher's lancelet) is the source of this 437-nucleotide long non-coding RNA. RefSeq lists it as uncharacterized. Lineage: Eukaryota; Metazoa; Chordata; Leptocardii; Amphioxiformes; Branchiostomatidae. The record is from RefSeq and is a predicted model, not a curated record. The transcript is spliced from 3 exons.